This 1488-nucleotide ribosomal RNA is filed under the name uncultured bacterium. RNAcentral's name for it is "bacterial SSU rRNA". It matches the Rfam family "Bacterial small subunit ribosomal RNA". The record is from RNAcentral.
AGUUUGAUUCUGGCUCAGGAUGAACGCUAGCUACAGGCUUAACACAUGCAAGUCGAGGGGCAGCAUUUUAGUUUGCUUGCAAACUAAAGAUGGCGACCGGCGCACGGGUGAGUAACACGUAUCCAACCUGCCGAUAACUCGGGGAUAGCCUUUCGAAAGAAAGAUUAAUAUCCGAUAGUAUAUUAAAACCGCAUGGUUUUACUAUUAAAGAAUUUCGGUUAUCGAUGGGGAUGCGUUCCAUUAGUUUGUUGGCGGGGUAACGGCCCACCAAGACUACGAUGGAUAGGGGUUCUGAGAGGAAGGUCCCCCACAUUGGAACUGAGACACGGUCCAAACUCCUACGGGAGGCAGCAGUGAGGAAUAUUGGUCAAUGGACGAGAGUCUGAACCAGCCAAGUAGCGUGAAGGAUGACUGCCCUAUGGGUUGUAAACUUCUUUUAUAUGGGAAUAAAGUAUUCCACGUGUGGGAUUUUGUAUGUACCAUAUGAAUAAGGAUCGGCUAACUCCGUGCCAGCAGCCGCGGUAAUACGGAGGAUCCGAGCGUUAUCCGGAUUUAUUGGGUUUAAAGGGAGCGUAGGUGGAUUGUUAAGUCAGUUGUGAAAGUUUGCGGCUCAACCGUAAAAUUGCAGUUGAAACUGGCAGUCUUGAGUACAGUAGAGGUGGGCGGAAUUCGUGGUGUAGCGGUGAAAUGCUUAGAUAUCACGAAGAACUCCGAUUGCGAAGGCAGCUCACUAGACUGCAACUGACACUGAUGCUCGAAAGUGUGGGUAUCAAACAGGAUUAGAUACCCUGGUAGUCCACACAGUAAACGAUGAAUACUCGCUGUUUGCGAUAUACAGUAAGCGGCCAAGCGAAAGCAUUAAGUAUUCCACCUGGGGAGUACGCCGGCAACGGUGAAACUCAAAGGAAUUGACGGGGGCCCGCACAAGCGGAGGAACAUGUGGUUUAAUUCGAUGAUACGCGAGGAACCUUACCCGGGCUUAAAUUGCAUUUGAAUAAUCUGGAAACAGGUUAGCCGCAAGGCAAAUGUGAAGGUGCUGCAUGGUUGUCGUCAGCUCGUGCCGUGAGGUGUCGGCUUAAGUGCCAUAACGAGCGCAACCCUUAUCUUUAGUUACUAACAGGUCAUGCUGAGGACUCUAGAGAGACUGCCGUCGUAAGAUGUGAGGAAGGUGGGGAUGACGUCAAAUCAGCACGGCCCUUACGUCCGGGGCUACACACGUGUUACAAUGGGGGGUACAGAAGGCAGCUACCUGGUGACAGGAUGCUAAUCCCAAAAACCUCUCUCAGUUCGGAUCGAAGUCUGCAACCCGACUUCGUGAAGCUGGAUUCGCUAGUAAUCGCGCAUCAGCCAUGGCGCGGUGAAUACGUUCCCGGGCCUUGUACACACCGCCCGUCAAGCCAUGAAAGCCGGGGGUACCUGAAGUACGUAACCGCAAGGAGCGUCCUAGGGUAAAACUGGUAAUUGGGGCUAAGUCGUAACAAGGUACCC